AUGCAGGCCCAGGUUCUGAGGGAUGCAGGCCCAGGCCCAGGUUCUGAGGGAUGCAGGCCCAGGCCCAGGUACUGAGGGAUGCAGGCCCAGGUACUGAGGGAUGCAGGCCCAGGUUCAGGCACUGAGGGAUGCAGGCCCAGGCCCACGUACUGAGGGAUGCAGGCAGACUUGCUAGGCCCUGCUAAACCGGUACAUGCCUUCAAAAAGGCAAGCAUCACUUCCUUCUCAUUUGUUUUCCCAAGGUGUGUGGGCCCUUCAAAAUCUUGGAAUGAAAUUGCUUUACCUAAUGUGAUGCUUGACUCCAGGCCUUGUGACUGAAGGGUUUUGUGGGGUGGUGGUGGGGUAUGUGUUUAAAGUAGGAAAAACGCCAAUUCUUUUUCCAGCUUUCUGGGCAGAACCUAACAGCCGAGGAGAGCUAGAAUCGCACGCAGGUCCUUACUGGAUAACUUUAUAUUAUUCAUGGGGAAUAACCAAUUUUCAAAAAACCCCAGCCCCUUUUCAGCAUUGGCAGCUUCCUCUGGAACCAGGAAACUGAGCAUGCUCUGUGCUUGCCUUGGCACUUGCGGAGUGGUUGUGACUGACGAUACUCCAGGUUCCCACUUUCUCAAGCAGUCACACCAAAGGCACCUCAGUACCGUGCUCUGUUCCCUCUCGCUACACAAACAUGCCCUCACAAAUUACAGGCUUUGGCCCAGAUAGAGGAGGCUGUGUUUACCUGUUAUCCACGGGCACGCCUUUCGUGUUGUCCUAGUAUUUUGUUCCCCCUUUCUUGACCAUAUAAGGGCAGACGUUUAGCUUGGCCCUAAGUCACUUUGGUCUUACACAGCAAGCGGGGUGAAACCCUCUCUGUGUGUCGACAGUUUACAUGAAAUAAAACGAUCUGACCUUUGGCCAUUCCGUGCCCCGCUCUGAUUCAGUCAGGACUUUGAAAAUAUAUUCCAGACCAUUGCUUUUCAGAGUAAAGGGUUCUCCUCCUUCUGUAUUGGCUGAGAUGUGAAUUUGGUGUCAAUCUUAUUUGGAAUAACAUUUUGCUGCGCUAGCUUGUGAACACCCUGAUUUCUACAUAGUGCCUUUUUUUGAGUAGGGGAACGGGUGUGUGUGUGUG
This is a long non-coding RNA of Acomys russatus (golden spiny mouse), 1105 nucleotides long. RefSeq lists it as uncharacterized. The transcript has 3 exons. The record is from RefSeq and is a predicted model, not a curated record. NCBI's taxonomy places the organism in Eukaryota, Metazoa, Chordata, Mammalia, Rodentia, Muridae.